This 259-nucleotide ribosomal RNA is filed under the name uncultured bacterium. Its description in RNAcentral is "partial 16S ribosomal RNA". It matches the Rfam family "Bacterial small subunit ribosomal RNA", at positions 109 to 354 of the family's 1533-position model. The record is from RNAcentral.
AGUAACGCGUGGAUAACCUGCCGUAUACAGGGGGAUAACACUUAGAAAUAGGUGCUAAUACCGCAUAAGCGCACAGCUUUGCAUGAAGCAGUGUGAAGAGCAAAAAGUUAAAACUUUUAGCGGUAUACGAUGGAUCCGCGUCUGAUUAGCCAGUUGGCGGGGUAACGGCCCACCAAAGCGACGAUCAGUAGCCGGCCUGAGGGGGCGGACGGCCACAUUGGGACUGAGACACGGCCCAGACUCCUACGGGAGGCAGCAG